GAACGUUUUGCAUUAACAUAAACUCCUCAUCGACCUAAAUCCUCAUCAGCAUAAGAUCUUCAUGUCAUAGGAUUACUGCCACCCUCCCAGUCAUCUGAUACUUCCUCCGAUUAUAAGAUCCUCUUCAAUUUAGGAUUAUUGCUGCCCUCUGAGUCAUCUGAUACUCCCUAUGAACCCAAUAUACAGUGGCAAGCUCAGAAUGUCUUUAUCUCUGCCAGCUCUGAAGCACUGACACCCCUCCCCCCAUACUUUGGAACUAUGUGAGCCUCUAUUGUCUUUUCUUUAGCCCUCACUUUCCCCUUUCCAGGCAGUUGGAGGAUUGAUCGGCCUCCGAUAAUAGUCAACAUCUAGUCCUGGUCCUAGUCCCUGGUCUAGGGCCAGGAACCAAGAGGAGAGGAUCCACAGCUAAGGUCCCAGAUGGAUUUUGUUUAUCUUCCUCUGAAAAUCGAUGUUCUUCAGCAGGGGCUGGGCCCUGGAACUAAACUUUGAUUGGACUAAGCUAAUCAAGACCCGUCAAGUGAUUGUUGAGACUUUGCCUACUACAGGAGAGGCGAGGCCGGAACCGUGCUAAGAUCUUGGCACAGUGAGACUUUUGACACAGUGUGAGUGGUAGAAAAGCAAAAAGAAAAGAGCCUCAGACCUCGAUGAUGCCAUUGAGGCACUGAAUCAGCAAAGUUCUUCCUUUGCACCUUCAGCUGGGGUUUCUUUUAUUUGUUGCCAGAGCAUCCCAAUAAUUAUAGAGUGUUUGGGAUUUACUCUGUUGUAACUGGCAUCAAACAACCAGGGUUAGAAUCUCAACUAUAUUACCAGCUAGCUUUGUGACCUUGGAAGAGUUAUUUUCUCUCUAUGAGCCUAAUUUCUUAAAAUAAUGGAGAAUAAAAAACCUAUUUCCCAAAGUGGAAGUUGAACAUAAAAUAUGAAAAUUAUUAUUGCUAUCCAUAAUACUUAUUAAUAUUAGGUGAGAUAUAAUAAUAUCAGUACCAUAAUAAAGUUCCAUCAGGAGUGAUCUGCAGUGAGAAUGCUUCAAAGUCGACCUAUGUUUCCAGGAAAAUUGCUCAUCCUGACACAGCUGUACCCUGCCUGUUCUCCUAAUGGCACUUGGGGAAAAGCCGGUCUGGCUACAGUUUGGGGUGAGCAGUUCCUCAUUGGAUAUAAAAACAAAAGGGGGCAUAUUCCCAGCAUUUCAGUGCAAGUUUUGGGCUGGAACAUACAGUGAGUAACUUCUCUGGGUUUUUUUUGGUUUUUUUUUUUUUUUUUUUUUGCACCGAGAAGUAGACAGUUGCACAAAUUUUAGGUCAAAUGUUGUGUCUCUGAUGUGUGGAAGAAAAAUAAGUUUAAGUUUCCAAUUGUAUUGUAUCUGGGGAGUAUUGAUUCCCCAAGUAGAGCUUUGUAGAAGACCUUCUUCCAUCUCAUUCUUUUCAUCCCAUCUCAUUGUUUUCAUCCUCCUCACCCCCCUGUACGGGGCCACUGUCUUAGGAUCCUGGGACCAAAAUAUAGACUGGGUGGCUUAUGAACAACAGAGAUUUAUGUUCAUUUUACUGGUUUACUAGUUUGCUUUUAGUUUUAAUCUCUUAACGAUGUAAUCAACCAGGUGGUUAGGAAAACUUUCUAACACUUCUCAUGUAAACUCAAAUUCUAGGUUUUUCUUUGGAUAACAUAGGUUCUUUACUAUUUGCAAGGUUAUUCCCAAGCUGCAAAGUUCUCUCUUUAUAUUUUUUCCUGUAUUCUUCUAUUCACUUUUGGCUGCCAUACUCAGAUAAACAGAAAGCAUAAAUGCUGUUAUUUCAUGCAUCUGCAGUGGAACACUCAGCAGCAGACAGUAACUCCUCCAGGUCUGUUAAAUAGAAACAUCAGAACUUUAUAUCUCACAGUUCUGGAGGCUGGGAAACCUGAAACUAAGGUUCUUCCAUAGUUGCUUUCUAGUGAAGGCUCUCUUUAGGGUUACACGCUGCUGUCUUCUUGUAUCCUCACAGAGUGGAAGGAAAGUGAGAGAGCCCUCUGCGGUUCUUUAUAUAAAGGCAUUUGUCACAUUUGUGAGGUUUCCAACUACUUUCCCCCCGAAGGUCUCACCUAGGAUUUGUAAAGUAACCCCUAAACACUGCAAAGCCUGAGCAGCUUUACAGCUAUAGCUAGUUUUUCUCCCUUUUUGUUGCAAGAUUAAGGGCCAGAGGAGCAUUGCAUUUUGUAUGUAUUUGUGGUAGAAGCAGCCUCUCGUUUCUGACUGAAAAUAAGGAUGUUGUUAUUCUGAUGAAUAUGACAUCUAGGAGGUCUUUCUCAAGACUGUUUGUUGUGGAAGGCCUGGAGAGGACCAGAGUGCGGUUUGGGCUGCCUAAAUGAGGAGGGGGAGCCCAUGGGAUCCUUCCAUCCCAGAGCCUGUUAUUUUUUUUAAAGGAAGGUCAAGAAAGGAGGAGCU
This is a long non-coding RNA of Heterocephalus glaber (naked mole-rat), 2413 nucleotides long. NCBI's taxonomy places the organism in Eukaryota, Metazoa, Chordata, Mammalia, Rodentia, Bathyergidae. The record is from Ensembl.